CGAGAUAUGACCUUCGAUUCUUAUAUAAAUACGCCUCAAGUGUUCCAAAUUUUAUUACAGAAUAUAGGGUUUUUCGCUGCCACUGCCUCUAUUGCAUUUACAUAGCAGCAGAAGAGCGUUCAAGCUUGGGAUCUCGUAAUCGGAGGUUUUGUUCACUUUUUACCGAGAGCUGGCAGGCUUUACCAGUGAAGAAAUGAGUGAAUUCAUCAAGUCCUCACCGAUAAAGGAGUUGGGCUUCUUCUCAUUCGUUCGGAACUUCAAGGAACUCAGAUCUAUUUCGCUGGAAAUUUUUCUGGAACUACCGGCUUAUGUUCCCGGGCAGGCUUCUUCAUCUUAUGAGUCUUCUUCAUCUGAUGAGGCUUCUUUAUCUGAUGCGUCUUCAUCCGAUGACGAGUACACAUACAUUGCACCAGCAGACCACACAUUGCUUCUCUUUGGAUGUUGCGAGGUCCGUUGUUGGAGUAAAUAUAAAGAAUCAUUCGUCACAGCUGAUCCAAGUUCAACAAUGUCGGCAUCAAACUCACUCCUCUCUCGUUUAGUUAAAUGUUAAUUUGGGACUAACUUUGAUAUGGGAACGUUUCUACAAAUGGUUUUGUUCGUUCAAUUCUAUUUUCAAACGGAUGUUUCAUGUUUGUAUAAUAAUAUCUCCGUCGUACUUUUGCACUAU
This is a long non-coding RNA of Salvia splendens (bonfire salvia), 667 nucleotides long. RefSeq lists it as uncharacterized. The record is from RefSeq and is a predicted model, not a curated record. The transcript has 3 exons. NCBI's taxonomy places the organism in Eukaryota, Viridiplantae, Streptophyta, Magnoliopsida, Lamiales, Lamiaceae.